Molecule: ribosomal RNA, 310 nt
Filed under: uncultured eukaryote
Lineage: Eukaryota
Description: partial 18S ribosomal RNA
Rfam family: Eukaryotic small subunit ribosomal RNA
Source: RNAcentral
CCCUUAGAUGUUCUGGGCGGCCCGCGCACUACAAUGGCGCUUUCAGCGAGUUCCUAUGUUGAAUUUUCCUGGGUAUUCUUGGAAGCGGCAUCUUGACUUGGGAUAGAUCCUUGUAAUUGUUGGUUUUGAACGAGGAAUUCCUUGUAAUCGCGGUUGAUCAGCUCGCGUUGAAUACGUCCCUGCCCUUUGUACACACCGCCCGUCGCUCCUACCGAUGAAUCGUCCGGUGAAGUUCACAGAGUGGCGGUUCGUGGAGUUGCUCGCGAAGUGAAAUGGACCUCACGAUUUAGAGGAAGGAGAAGUCGUAACA